AAUACAUGCAAGUCGAACGAGAAAGUAUUCUUCGGAAUAUUAGUAGAGUGGCGAACGGGUGAGUAACACGUAGGAAAUCUGCCUUUAAGUCUGGGAUAACGUUGGGAAACUGACGCUAAUACCGGAUAAUUCUUUUAGCCGCAUGGCUAGGAGAUAAAAGAAAGCCUCUGCUUGCAAGCUUUGCUUAGAGAUGAUCCUGCGGACCAUUAGUUAGUUGGUAAGGUAACGGCUUACCAAGACCGUGAUGGAUAGCCAGCCUGAGAGGACGAUC
Molecule: ribosomal RNA, 271 nt
Filed under: uncultured bacterium
Lineage: Bacteria
Description: partial 16S ribosomal RNA
Rfam family: Bacterial small subunit ribosomal RNA
Source: RNAcentral